RNAcentral lists this ribosomal RNA (468 nucleotides) under uncultured bacterium. RNAcentral describes it as "partial 16S ribosomal RNA". It matches the Rfam family "Bacterial small subunit ribosomal RNA", at positions 28 to 507 of the family's 1533-position model. The record is from RNAcentral.
GACGAACGCUGGCGGCGUGCUUAACACAUGCAAGUCGAACGGAAAGGCCCUGCUUUUGUGGGGUGCUCGAGUGGCGAACGGGUGAGUAACACGUGAGUAACCUGCCCUUGACUUUGUGAUAACUUUAGGAAACAGGGGCUAAUACCGGAUAGGAGCUCCUGCUGCAUGGGGGGGGUUGGAAAGUUUCGGCGGUUGGGGAUGGACUCGCGGCUCAUCGGCUUGUUGGUGGGGUAGUGGCUUACCAAGGCUUUGACGGGUAGCCGGCCUGAGAGGGUGACCGGCCACAUUGGGACUGAGAUACGGCCCAGACUCCUACGGGAGGCAGAAGUGGGGAAUAUUGCACAGUGGGCGGAAGCCUGAUGCAGCAACGCCGCGUGCGGGAUGACGGGCUUCGGGUUGUAAACCGCUUUCGCCUGUGACGAAGCGUGAGUGACGGUAAUGGGUAAAGAAGCACCGGCUAACUACGUG